Macadamia integrifolia is the source of this 308-nucleotide long non-coding RNA. RefSeq lists it as uncharacterized. The record is from RefSeq and is a predicted model, not a curated record. Lineage: Eukaryota; Viridiplantae; Streptophyta; Magnoliopsida; Proteales; Proteaceae. The transcript has 3 exons.
UUUUGCUCUCUUCAACUCACACUUACAAACUCAAUUAGUCUCAAAACUUCUCCCGUGGCGGACAUCGCUCCGAAGAUCCACGGGCACCUAUUCUCCUUCCCGGUAAUGCGAACCUUCACUUGCCUCCAUGAGAAAGGGGUUGAAUUCGAGUUCGUCCCCAUACAUAUGAAAGCCGGUGAACAUAAGAAGGAGCCCUUCAUCUCUCUCAGUCCAUUUGGAAUGAUUCCUGCCUUUGAAGAUGAAGAUUUGAAGCUAUUUGAGUCGAGAGCAAUAACCAAAUAUGUUGCCUAUGAGUACCACGGGAAGGG